Non-coding RNA from Onthophagus taurus, 246 nucleotides. The record is from RefSeq and is a predicted model, not a curated record. NCBI's taxonomy places the organism in Eukaryota, Metazoa, Arthropoda, Insecta, Coleoptera, Scarabaeidae.
UAUAUAUAAUUAUAUUUUAGAAGAAUACGUUAUGCGGAAAUGGGAUAGUCUUCGUGGCGGGGAUUUAUGUCAGCGAUUGGUCGGCUCAAUGACAUCCCGAUUAGAAGAAUGUCAAAAUAAUAACAGGUUAUACACCCAUUAUUAAAUUUUGACAUAACAAAUUUUAUUCAUUAUUAAUGAGAAACAAUAAGCGCAUACCUGGCUGUGGUCCUCAAGACGAAAAAGAUAAAACUCUUCAUCCCGCGG